UGCAAGUCGUACGCUUCUUUUUCCACCGGAGCUUGCUCCACCGGAAAAAGAAGAGUGGCGAACGGGUGAGUAACACGUGGGUAACCUGCCCAUCAGAAGGGGAUAACACUUGGAAACAGGUGCUAAUACCGUAUAACAAUCGAAACCGCAUGGUUUUGAUUUGAAAGGCGCUUUCGGGUGUCGCUGAUGGAUGGACCCGCGGUGCAUUAGCUAGUUGGUGAGGUAACGGCUCACCAAGGCCACGAUGCAUAGCCGACCUGAGAGGGUGAUCGGCCACAUUGGGACUGAGACACGGCCCAAACUCCUACGGGAGGCAGCAGUAGGGAAUCUUCGGCAAUGGACGAAAGUCUGACCGAGCAACGCCGCGUGAGUGAAGAAGGUUUUCGGAUCGUAAAACUCUGUUGUUAGAGAAGAACAAGGAUGAGAGUAACUGUUCAUCCCUUGACGGUAUCUAACCAGAAAGCCACGGCUAACUACGUGCCAGCAGCCGCGGUAAUACGUAGGUGGCAAGCGUUGUCCGGAUUUAUUGGGCGUAAAGCGAGCGCAGGCGGUUUCUUAAGUCUGAUGUGAAAGCCCCCGGCUCAACCGGGGAGGGUCAUUGGAAACUGGGAGACUUGAGUGCAGAAGAGGAGAGUGGAAUUCCAUGUGUAGCGGUGAAAUGCGUAGAUAUAUGGAGGAACACCAGUGGCGAAGGCGGCUCUCUGGUCUGUAACUGACGCUGAGGCUCGAAAGCGUGGGGAGCAAACAGGAUUAGAUACCCUGGUAGUCCACGCCGUAAACGAUGAGUGCUAAGUGUUGGAGGGUUUCCGCCCUUCAGUGCUGCAGCUAACGCAUUAAGCACUCCGCCUGGGGAGUACGACCGCAAGGUUGAAACUCAAAGGAAUUGACGGGGGCCCGCACAAGCGGUGGAGCAUGUGGUUUAAUUCGAAGCAACGCGAAGAACCUUACCAGGUCUUGACAUCCUUUGACCACUCUAGAGAUAGAGCUUCCCCUUCGGGGGCAAAGUGACAGGUGGUGCAUGGUUGUCGUCAGCUCGUGUCGUGAGAUGUUGGGUUAAGUCCCGCAACGAGCGCAACCCUUAUUGUUAGUUGCCAUCAUUUAGUUGGGCACUCUAGCAAGACUGCCGGUGACAAACCGGAGGAAGGUGGGGAUGACGUCAAAUCAUCAUGCCCCUUAUGACCUGGGCUACACACGUGCUACAAUGGGAAGUACAACGAGUCGCGAAGUCGCGAGGCUAAGCUAAUCUCUUAAAGCUUCUCUCAGUUCGGAUUGUAGGCUGCAACUCGCCUACAUGAAGCCGGAAUCGCUAGUAAUCGCGGAUCAGCACGCCGCGGUGAAUACGUUCCCGGGCCUUGUACACACCGCCCGUCACACCACGAGAGUUUGUAACACCCGAAGUCGGUGAGGUAACCUUUUGGAGCCAGCCGCC
This 1429-nucleotide ribosomal RNA is filed under the name Enterococcus durans. RNAcentral's name for it is "bacterial SSU rRNA". It matches the Rfam family "Bacterial small subunit ribosomal RNA". The record is from RNAcentral. Lineage: Bacteria; Bacillati; Bacillota; Bacilli; Lactobacillales; Enterococcaceae.